ACUUAAAUUGAAGAGUUUGAUCAUGGCUCAGAUUGAACGCUGGCGGCAGGCCUAACACAUGCAAGUCGAGCGGUAGCACAGAGAGCUUGCUCUCGGGUGACGAGCGGCGGACGGGUGAGUAAUGUCUGGGAAACUGCCUGAUGGAGGGGGAUAACUACUGGAAACGGUAGCUAAUACCGCAUAAUGUCGCAAGACCAAAGUGGGGGACCUUCGGGCCUCAUGCCAUCAGAUGUGCCCAGAUGGGAUUAGCUAGUAGGUGGGGUAACGGCUCACCUAGGCGACGAUCCCUAGCUGGUCUGAGAGGAUGACCAGCCACACUGGAACUGAGACACGGUCCAGACUCCUACGGGAGGCAGCAGUGGGGAAUAUUGCACAAUGGGCGCAAGCCUGAUGCAGCCAUGCCGCGUGUGUGAAGAAGGCCUUCGGGUUGUAAAGCACUUUCAGCGGGGAGGAAGGCGAUAAGGUUAAUAACCUUGGCGAUUGACGUUACCCGCAGAAGAAGCACCGGCUAACUCCGUGCCAGCAGCCGCGGUAAUACGGAGGGUGCAAGCGUUAAUCGGAAUUACUGGGCGUAAAGCGCACGCAGGCGGUCUGUCAAGUCGGAUGUGAAAUCCCCGGGCUCAACCUGGGAACUGCAUUCGAAACUGGCAGGCUAGAGUCUUGUAGAGGGGGGUAGAAUUCCAGGUGUAGCGGUGAAAUGCGUAGAGAUCUGGAGGAAUACCGGUGGCGAAGGCGGCCCCCUGGACAAAGACUGACGCUCAGGUGCGAAAGCGUGGGGAGCAAACAGGAUUAGAUACCCUGGUAGUCCACGCCGUAAACGAUGUCGAUUUGGAGGUUGUGCCCUUGAGGCGUGGCUUCCGGAGCUAACGCGUUAAAUCGACCGCCUGGGGAGUACGGCCGCAAGGUUAAAACUCAAAUGAAUUGACGGGGGCCCGCACAAGCGGUGGAGCAUGUGGUUUAAUUCGAUGCAACGCGAAGAACCUUACCUGGUCUUGACAUCCACAGAACUUUCCAGAGAUGGAUUGGUGCCUUCGGGAACUGUGAGACAGGUGCUGCAUGGCUGUCGUCAGCUCGUGUUGUGAAAUGUUGGGUUAAGUCCCGCAACGAGCGCAACCCUUAUCCUUUGUUGCCAGCGGUCCGGCCGGGAACUCAAAGGAGACUGCCAGUGAUAAACUGGAGGAAGGUGGGGAUGACGUCAAGUCAUCAUGGCCCUUACGACCAGGGCUACACACGUGCUACAAUGGCAUAUACAAAGAGAAGCGACCUCGCGAGAGCAAGCGGACCUCAUAAAGUAUGUCGUAGUCCGGAUUGGAGUCUGCAACUCGACUCCAUGAAGUCGGAAUCGCUAGUAAUCGUAGAUCAGAAUGCUACGGUGAAUACGUUCCCGGGCCUUGUACACACCGCCCGUCACACCAUGGGAGUGGGUUGCAAAAGAAGUAGGUAGCUUAACCUUCGGGAGGGCGCUUACCACUUUGUGAUUCAUGACUGGGGUGAAGUCGUAACAAGGUAACCGUAGGGGAACCUGCGGUUGGAUCACCUCCUUACCUUAAAGAA
RNAcentral lists this ribosomal RNA (1554 nucleotides) under Klebsiella pneumoniae. Its description in RNAcentral is "bacterial SSU rRNA". It matches the Rfam family "Bacterial small subunit ribosomal RNA". The record is from RNAcentral. Lineage: Bacteria; Pseudomonadati; Pseudomonadota; Gammaproteobacteria; Enterobacterales; Enterobacteriaceae.